RNAcentral lists this ribosomal RNA (674 nucleotides) under uncultured bacterium. RNAcentral describes it as "bacterial SSU rRNA". It matches the Rfam family "Bacterial small subunit ribosomal RNA", at positions 94 to 803 of the family's 1533-position model. The record is from RNAcentral.
AGCGGCGGACGGGUUAGUAACGCGUGGGAACGUACCCUUCUCUAAGGAAUAGCCACUGGAAACGGUGAGUAAUACCUUAUACGCCCUUCGGGGGAAAGAUUUAUCGGAGAAGGAUCGGCCCGCGUAAGAUUAGAUAGUUGGUGGGGUAAUGGCCUACCAAGUCUACGAUCUUUAGCUGGUUUUAGAGGAUGAUCAGCAACACUGGGACUGAGACACGGCCCAGACUCCUACGGGAGGCAGCAGUGGGGAAUCUUAGACAAUGGGCGCAAGCCUGAUCUAGCCAUGCCGCGUGUGUGACGAAGGCCUUAGGGUCGUAAAGCACUUUCGCCUGUGAUGAUAAUGACAGUAGCAGGUAAAGAAACCCCGGCUAACUCCGUGCCAGCAGCCGCGGUAAUACGGAGGGGGUUAGCGUUGUUCGGAAUUACUGGGCGUAAAGCGCACGUAGGCGGAUUGGAAAGUAUGGGGUGAAAUCCCAGGGCUCAACCCUGGAACUGCCUCAUAAACUUCCAGUCUAGAGUUCGAGAGAGGUGAGUGGAAUUCCGAGUGUAGAGGUGAAAUUCGUAGAUAUUCGGAGGAACACCAGUGGCGAAGGCGGCUCACUGGCUCGAUACUGACGCUGAGGUGCGAAAGUGUGGGGAGCAAACAGGAUUAGAUACCCUGGUAGUCCACACCGA